RNAcentral lists this ribosomal RNA (460 nucleotides) under uncultured bacterium. Its description in RNAcentral is "partial 16S ribosomal RNA". It matches the Rfam family "Bacterial small subunit ribosomal RNA", at positions 338 to 795 of the family's 1533-position model. The record is from RNAcentral.
CCUACGGGAGGCUGCAGUGAGGAAUAUUGGUCAAUGGACGGAAGUCUGAACCAGCCAUGCCGCGUGCAGGAAGACGGCUCUAUGAGUUGUAAACUGCUUUUGUACAAGGGUAAACCUGAAUACGUGUAUUCAGCUGAAAGUACUGUACGAAUAAGGAUCGGCUAAAGCCGUGCCAGGAGCCGCGGUAAUACGGAGGAUCCGAGCGUUAUCCGGAUUUAUUGGGGUUAAAGGGUGCGGAGGCGGGUUGCUCAGUUCGAGGGGAAAUGUCCGAGCUUAACUCGGGAACUGCCUCUAAUACUGUUGAUCUAGAGAGUAGAUGCGGUAGGCGGAAUGUAUGGUGUAGCGGUGAAAUGCUUAGAGAUCAUACAGAACACCGAUUGCGAAGGCAGCUUACCAAUCUAUAUCUGACGUUGAGGCACGAAAGCGUGGGGAGCAAACAGGAUUAGAUACCCUUGUAGUC